This 588-nucleotide long non-coding RNA is filed under the name Pan troglodytes (chimpanzee). RNAcentral describes it as "long non-coding RNA NONPTRT001700". The record is from RNAcentral. Lineage: Eukaryota; Metazoa; Chordata; Mammalia; Primates; Hominidae.
UGCAGAUUCAGUUAAAACAUAAAGUACCUGGCGGACUAUUUCUGGAGGUUACAGUUUUGUUAUUAAAAAAAAAAUACACAAAUAAUGGGUCUGGAAGAGGAAGCAUAAUAAAUUUGAGGACUCAGAAGUGAUGCUAAAUUUGGACAUUUGAAGAAGGGGCACAGGAAAGCAAUUCAAAGGCACUUGAGUUAUCAACGUGCACAGAGGAAAUUAAGUAGGAGGCAUGUUGGAAAGGCACCCACUGAUAUCGACCUGGAUGGAAGCCCUUGAAGUCACAGUUCCUCCACAGCAUGGGCUUUGAACUCCUGCGCUUGGGUCUGGCUUCCACAAAGAUGAACUCAGAAUGGAAAAAUUAAAAAAAAAAAAAAAAAAAGUUGGAAGCCAUUGCCACUACAGUGCCAACCUGGCCAGCCACAAGACCAUAAUAUUUUUUAAACUCUGACGGCUAGAAAUGGACACAAAUUGCUCUCUUGUGGUUGCCAGCAGGUUUCUGAAUCAUCUUUGGGUUAGGGCUUCAGUAGACUUUUGAUUUUGCAAGGUCUAGUAAAGAACUUUUAUACACACAAGGAGCCAACCUUCAAUCCAAAA